Molecule: long non-coding RNA, 1610 nt
Organism: Asparagus officinalis (garden asparagus)
Lineage: Eukaryota; Viridiplantae; Streptophyta; Magnoliopsida; Asparagales; Asparagaceae
Exons: 4
Source: RefSeq, a predicted model, not a curated record
AAGAAUAUGAGGUGGCACAAGGAAGAUCGAGUAGACGAUGGUAAAUUGAGACAUCCUGCUGAUGCUUUAGCUUGGAAGCAUGUUGAUAAAAUAUAUCCUCGUUUUGCCGAAGAUUGCAGAAAUAUAAGACUGGGUCUAUCAAGUGACGGAUUCAAUCCAUUUGGGGUAAUGAGCUCUGACUGGUAUACGUGGCCAGUUAUAUUAAUGCCAUAUAAUUUAUCUUCAUUGCUUUAUAUGAAACAACCAUUUAUGAUACUUUCAUUACUAAUACCCGGUAAGCAUGCACCGGGAAAUAAUAUUGAUGUAUACUUAGAGCCUCUAAUUGAUGAGCUGAAAUAAUUAUGGUUUGACGGUAUUUUAGCAUAUGAUGCCCAUUUAAAAGAGUCGUUUAGAUUACGUGCUAUUCUAUUAUGGACGAUUAAUGAUUUUUCAGCUUAUGCUAAUCUGUCCGGGUACUCUACGAAGGGCAAGUGUGCUUGUCCUGUAUGUGGUCCAGAAUUUGAAGCUCUUCAAUUACCACAUAGCAGAAAGAGUUGUUAUUGGUUUAAUCGAAGGUGGUUGCCCUUGAGUCAUAAGUACAGAAAAUUAUCAGCUAAGUUUGAUGGCACAGUUGAAAAAAGAAUGAAGCCGCGUCAACUGAUAGGUAAUGAGAUCGUAAAAUUACUUCAGGGGUUUCCAAAAGUUGUGUUGGGAAAAAAAUCGCUAUUCUAAAUUUAACCCGCUCGGAGUAAGAGAUUACUUAAAGUCAAAAAAUCCAUUGAAGCGUAAGCGAAAGGUCUGUAAAAUGCAAGUUGAGGAUGAAGCCUAAAAAUUACCUAGAGGAUGGACUAAAUUUAAUAUCUUCUUUCAGCUACCUUACUGGCAAAAUCUUAAAAUCCGACAUAACUUAGAUGUUAUGCAUAUUGAGAAAAAUAUAUGUGAUAACAUAGUAUCAACUCUCCUACAAGAUGCAAACAAGUCGAAGGAUGACCUACAGGGCACCAAGAUCUGAUUGCUUUGAAUAUCCGAAAUGAUUUGCAAGCUCAAGACGUUGGCCUUAAAAAAUCAAAGUUACCUCCGGACCAUCCCCCUCUGAUGCAGCACCAGAACCAUCCCCCGACGUAGGUGCUUCUUGGACCCCGACAUAUCCAUCAUAUACAUUCUAUACUGACUUGUGGCCGAAGACACAGGACUAUCUCAGUUUACCCUUAUCUUUGGACUCUCAUAAGUCCAAGGCUGACUCAAGGAAGUACCACCCACGUGCUGCGAGAAAGUUAGAGGAAAUGCUUCCUAUGUUGGAGACUAGGAAAGCUGAUGCACUCACAGCAAAAGAAAGAGAGAUAACGAAUGGUGCUAAGCGAGAUCACGUAGAGAACAGACGUGGCGGAGGUAAGCCUGAAUCUAAACAACCGCCAAGAGGAAUGAGGGUGAUAAUUUGGUGGAAUAGUUCUAAUUUGCCCGUUGGUCCUUGGUCGACCCGAUUGAAUGCAUAUAUUGGGGUUCUCGUGCGUAGAGCGACCAUUAUCAACCCUUAUUUUCAUUUUUGAGAAUUACCAUGGACCGCAUACGAGGCGAUAUGGACUGAGCUUAUGGACUGCUUCUGCCUUGAGGACUUUGAGGGGGCUUGGAAU